AGGCUUUGAUCCUGGCUCAGAACGAACGCUGGCGGCAUGCCUAACACAUGCAAGUCGAACGAAGCCUUCGGGCUUAGUGGCGCACGGGUGCGUAACGCGUGGGAAUCUGCCUUCAGGUACGGAAUAACUCAGGGAAACUUGUGCUAAUACCGUAUGAUGACUUCGGUCCAAAGAUUUAUCGCCUGAAGAUGAGCCCGCGUAGGAUUAGCUAGUUGGUGGGGUAAAGGCCUACCAAGGCGACGAUCCUUAGCUGGUCUGAGAGGAUGAUCAGCCACACUGGGACUGAGACACGGCCCAGACUCCUACGGGAGGCAGCAGUGGGGAAUAUUGGACAAUGGGCGAAAGCCUGAUCCAGCAAUGCCGCGUGAGUGAAGAAGGCCUUCGGGUUGUAAAGCUCUUUUACCCGGGAUGAUAAUGACCGUACCGGGAGAAUAAGCCCCGGCUAACUCCGUGCCAGCAGCCGCGGUAAUACGGAGGGGGCUAGCGUGUCCGG
This 493-nucleotide ribosomal RNA is filed under the name uncultured Sphingomonadaceae bacterium. RNAcentral's name for it is "bacterial SSU rRNA". It matches the Rfam family "Bacterial small subunit ribosomal RNA", at positions 8 to 548 of the family's 1533-position model. Lineage: Bacteria; Pseudomonadati; Pseudomonadota; Alphaproteobacteria; Sphingomonadales; Sphingomonadaceae. The record is from RNAcentral.